AUUGAACGCUGGCGGAAUGCUUUACACAUGCAAGUCGAACGGCAGCACGGAUUUCGGUCUGGUGGCGAGUGGCGAACGGGUGAGUAAUGUAUCGGAACGUGCCCAGUCGGGGGGGAUAACGUAGUGAAAAUUACGCUAAUACCGCAUACGAUCUAUGGAUGAAAGCGGGGGAUCGCAAGACCUCGCGCGAUUGGAGCGGCCGAUAUCAGAUUAGGUAGUUGGUGGGGUAAAGGCCCACCAAGCCAACGAUCUGUAGCUGGUCUGAGGGGACGACCAGCCACACUGGAACUGAGACACGGUCCAGACUCCUACGGGAGGCAGCAGUGGGGAAUUUUGGACAAUGGGCGAAAGCCUGAUCCAGCCAUUCCGCGUGCAGGAUGAAGGCCCUCGGGUUGUAAACUGCUUUUGUACAGAACGAAAAGGUUUCUACUAAUACUAGGAGCUCAUGACGGUACUGUAAGAAUAAGCACCGGCUAACUACGUGCCAGCCGCCGCGGUAA
RNAcentral lists this ribosomal RNA (500 nucleotides) under uncultured bacterium. Its description in RNAcentral is "partial 16S ribosomal RNA". It matches the Rfam family "Bacterial small subunit ribosomal RNA", at positions 30 to 523 of the family's 1533-position model. The record is from RNAcentral.